AGCUCCAAUAGCGUAUAUUAAAGUUGUUGCAGUUAAAAAGCUCGUAGUUGGAUUUCUGAAUGAAAUAUCCGGUCCGCUUGUCUUUGAUGAGUGUGUACUUUAGAUAUUUGGUUCAUUUUUUGUGAGGAAAUUUAUCUGUCAUUAAGUUGAUGGAUUUAUAGACUUGCAUCAUUUACUGUGAAAAAAUUAGAGUGUUUAAAACAGGCGUUUGCCCAUUUGAAUACAUUAGCAUGGAAUAAUAAGAUAUGACUUUGGUGGUCUAUUUUGUUGGUUUGCACACCAGAGUAAUGAUUAAUAGGGACAGUUGGGGGUAUUCAUAUUUCAACGUCAGAGGUGAAAUUCUUAGAUCGUUGAAAGAUGAGCUUAGGCGAAAGCAUUUACCAUGGAUGUUUUCAUUAAU
RNAcentral lists this ribosomal RNA (400 nucleotides) under phytoplankton environmental sample. RNAcentral describes it as "partial small subunit ribosomal RNA". It matches the Rfam family "Eukaryotic small subunit ribosomal RNA", at positions 587 to 977 of the family's 1831-position model. The record is from RNAcentral.